CACCAGAACGGCCAGGUGAGAGAGGGGGAGCGAGGGAGAGGCCGAGUCACAUGUCCUCCGACUGUCUAGAGCCCACACCUCUUCAGGAAGUACAAGAAGGAGCUGAAUUCCCGAGAGUUCUGUGCGUCGGCCGCGGAGUCUCCAAUAUACACCCCUUCAAAAGGCCGCGCUGUGCCACUGCCACAUAUCCACAAUGAGGGGCCAAAGGUUUUAAGAAAACGAAGACACCUGUCAGCUCUCCUGACAUCUUCACUGCUUAAGUAACUCGGUAACAACAUCUGAGGCGAUCUCUGGUUGCUAAUCAUUAGAGCUCAACAGUUCCGUUAACUCGGGAUACCUUAUAACUUGCUCAACUCCACAUGAAGAUUUAUUUUUAUAAAAGGGUCCUCUGUACCUUUAUUACACCACUCAGAACUUCACUCAAAAUCUCCAUCUAGCUCUCCUUCUGAUGAGUACAUUUUGUUAGUUUUUCAUGCAAACUUAAUCCUCAAAUAAAACAAAACUACCACAGAGACUUAUGACUGAGUGUGACUUGCCCUAGUUCAUUUGUCUGAGAAACUCCUACUCAUCCUUCAAGACACACCACAAACGCCACGUCCUCUGAACAGCUUUCUGGAAUGCCCAGAUAGAAUAAUGGCACUAUUCACUUUUUGACAAUCCUUAAUGGAACAUCCAUGCUGAUUUUUAGAGGCGGCCUACUGAUUCGACCAAGUGCAAGCAGAAGACUGCUGGCGUCCGGCGGGGCCUGGGAUGUCGGUUCCCGUCCUCUGUCCUGUUCCAGGUUCUCCCACGCGCUGCCGGUCUCCUUCCCAACCUGCCUGCUUGAUGCCCUUCCAAACUUUACUCAUUAAAAGUGAUUCUUUUAC
Molecule: long non-coding RNA, 866 nt
Organism: Mustela erminea (ermine)
Lineage: Eukaryota; Metazoa; Chordata; Mammalia; Carnivora; Mustelidae
Exons: 2
Source: RefSeq, a predicted model, not a curated record